CUAAAGACAAAAGAGCACAAACAAGGUGGGGCCUAUUACCCCCAGGAACACAUUUGUAGGACUAGUGGCUCAACUUGGUUUAUUUCUCAUGGCAAGUGACAAAGCUACAACAGCAAGAGAAACUAUUCAAGUGUAUUCAGUGCCUCUUCUUGCAUUGAAUUUAUUAACAUCCCAUUACCUGAAGCAAAUCACGUGGCUCAACCCAAAGUUAGCAGGCUAAUGUUGAACAUGUGCUAAAUCUUGCAAGAAUAUCUGCUAUGAAAAUAAAAGUAGAGCUAAUUAGAAAUUAAUCAAAAUGAUUAACUUCUGCAUUCCUUCAGCCAAUGAAUCACUUUAAAAGAUGUCAAUGAAAAUCCCCAGGAGACCAUUUUAGGUAAGAUUUUUGUUUAAAUUUUAAAAUGUAUAGAAACCUAAAGAGUAGCAUUUUACAUA
RNAcentral lists this long non-coding RNA (432 nucleotides) under Bos indicus x Bos taurus (hybrid cattle). RNAcentral's name for it is "lncRNA (ENSBIXG00000011368.1)". The record is from RNAcentral. Lineage: Eukaryota; Metazoa; Chordata; Mammalia; Artiodactyla; Bovidae.